This 71-nucleotide transfer RNA is filed under the name bovine gut metagenome. It matches the Rfam family "tRNA". Rfam says of the family: Transfer RNA (tRNA) molecules are approximately 80 nucleotides in length. The record is from RNAcentral. RNAcentral also lists the same sequence under 1 other name.
GCGGGGUAGCUCAGUUGGUUAGAGCGGUGGAAUCAUAAUCCAUGUGUCGAGGGUUCGAAUCCCCCCCUCGC